GCUAAAUAGUUUAAACAAAAACAAUAUAUUUUCAUUAUAUAAUUAAUAACUUCAUUUUUAGCC
Molecule: transfer RNA, 63 nt
Filed under: Aposthonia japonica
Lineage: Eukaryota; Metazoa; Arthropoda; Insecta; Embioptera; Oligotomidae
Description: tRNA-Glu
Source: RNAcentral